Molecule: unclassified non-coding RNA, 183 nt
Filed under: uncultured fungus
Lineage: Eukaryota; Fungi
Description: sequence contains ITS1
Source: RNAcentral
GUAUUUAGAAUUAUUUAUUCGAAAUAGCUUCAGACAAAAAAAUUUCAAUAAAGGGUUGGUAUUAUGCUGCCACGACGCGUGAACGACGCGACAGCAAACAUUGCACACAAGGUGAGUACUUGUUUAAAAAGUGCAGUAAAACACUUAUUAUGAAUGAUCCUUCCGCAGGUUCACCUACGGAAA